GAUGAACGCUGGCGGCGUGCCUAAUACAUGCAAGUCGAGCGAACAGACGAGGAGCUUACUCCUCUGACGUUAGCGGCGGACGGGUGAGUAACACGUGGAUAACCUACCUAUAAGACUGGGAUAACUUCGGGAAACCGGAGCUAAUACCGGAUAACAUGUUGAACCGCAUGGUUCAACAGUGAAAGACGGUCUUGCUGUCACUUAUAGAUGGAUCCGCGUCGCAUUAGCUAGUUGGUAAGGUAACGGCUUACCAAGGCAACGAUGCGUAGCCGACCUGAGAGGGUGAUCGGCCACACUGGAACUGAGACACGGUCCAGACUCCUACGGGAGGCAGCAGUAGGGAAUCUUCCGCAAUGGGCGAAAGCCUGACGGAGCAACGCCGCGUGAGUGAAGAAGGUCUUCGGAUCGUAAAACUCUGUUAUUAGGGAAGAACAAAUGUAUAAGUAACUAUGCACGUCUUGACGGUACCUAAUCAGAAAGCCACGGCUAACUACGUG
RNAcentral lists this ribosomal RNA (497 nucleotides) under uncultured bacterium. RNAcentral describes it as "partial 16S ribosomal RNA". It matches the Rfam family "Bacterial small subunit ribosomal RNA", at positions 28 to 507 of the family's 1533-position model. The record is from RNAcentral.